This 1336-nucleotide ribosomal RNA is filed under the name Clostridium perfringens. RNAcentral's name for it is "partial 23S ribosomal RNA". It matches the Rfam family "Bacterial large subunit ribosomal RNA", at positions 1579 to 2925 of the family's 2925-position model. Lineage: Bacteria; Bacillati; Bacillota; Clostridia; Eubacteriales; Clostridiaceae. The record is from RNAcentral.
ACGGAACCGAAGUACAUGAUUCCACGCUGCCAAGAAAAGCGUCUAGAGAGAGAAGUAGUGCCCGUACCGCAAACCGACACAGGUAGGUGAGGAGAGAAUCCUAAGGCCGGCGGAAGAAUUACAGUUAAGGAACUCGGCAAAUUGACCCCGUAAGUUCGCGAGAAGGGGUGCCUACGAGAGUAGGCCGCAGAGAAUAGGCCCAAGCAACUGUUUAGCAAAAACACAGGUCUCUGCUAAAGCGUAAGCUGAUGUAUAGGGGCUGACGCCUGCCCGGUGCUGGAAGGUUAAGGGGAACACUUAGCGCAAGCGAAGGUGUGAACUUAAGCCCCAGUAAACGGCGGCCGUAACUAUAACGGUCCUAAGGUAGCGAAAUUCCUUGUCAGGUAAGUUCUGACCCGCACGAAUGGCGUAAUGACUUGGGCACUGUCUCAACUGUAAAUCCGGCGAAGUUGUAGUGCGAGUGAAGAUGCUCGCUACCCGCGAUUGGACGGAAAGACCCCGUAGAGCUUUACUGUAGCUUAGCAUUGAGUUUUGGUAUUGUCUGUACAGGAUAGGUGGGAGACUAGGAAACCAGGGCGUCAGCCUUGGUGGAGUCAACCUUGGGAUACCACCCUGACAGUACUGAAAUUCUAACUGGCGGCCAUGAAUCUGGUCACAGGACAUUGUUAGGUGGGCAGUUUGACUGGGGCGGUCGCCUCCUAAAAAGUAACGGAGGCGCCCAAAGGUUCCCUCAGAACGGUCGGAAAUCGUUCGAAGAGUGCAAAGGCAGAAGGGAGCCUGACUGCGACACCCACAAGUGGAGCAGGGACGAAAGUCGGGCUUAGUGAUCCGGUGGUACCUCGUGGGAGGGCCAUCGCUCAACGGAUAAAAGCUACCUCGGGGAUAACAGGCUGAUCUCCCCCAAGAGUCCACAUCGACGGGGAGGUUUGGCACCUCGAUGUCGGCUCGUCGCAUCCUGGGGCUGAAGUAGGUCCCAAGGGUUGGGCUGUUCGCCCAUUAAAGCGGCACGCGAGCUGGGUUCAGAACGUCGUGAGACAGUUCGGUCCCUAUCCGUCGCGGGCGUAGGAAAUUUGAGAGGAGCUGUCCUUAGUACGAGAGGACCGGGAUGGACUGACCUCUGGUGUACCAGUUGUUCCGCCAGGAGCACAGCUGGGUAGCUAAGUCGGGAAUGGAUAAACGCUGAAAGCAUCUAAGCGUGAAGCCAACCUCAAGAUGAGAUUUCCCAUAGCGUAAGCUAGUAAGAUCCCUUGAAGAACACAAGGUUGAUAGGUCGGGGGUGUAAGCAUGGUAACAUGUUCAGCUGACCGAUACUAAUAGAUCGAGGGCUUGACCAAAU